Molecule: long non-coding RNA, 2602 nt
Filed under: Lotus japonicus
Lineage: Eukaryota; Viridiplantae; Streptophyta; Magnoliopsida; Fabales; Fabaceae
Description: long non-coding RNA (LJAP_LNC000570)
Source: RNAcentral
AUACAAAAUUCACAGCUCACAUAACACAAACAUAUUAAUUUAUCAUAACUGAGUAUCACUCAAUCAGCCCCUAUAAAAUGCACCCCCUUCAAAUCUUCUACACAUCAAACACAUUAUUUCACUUAAUUAUCAUAACCCUUCACUUGCAUUUAAUCCUCUGAAAGCAACAAAGCAAUUUCACUUUAGACCAUUCAACAACGACUUGCAGUUUUCAACCGAAAAAUGAAGCAAGCUUUAAUCUCUCCGAACUCAUACUUUUUUCACCUUGCAUUCAAACACAACACCAGCACAAACACCUGCAUCAGCCCCAAAAAAAUCGAUUAGAAGGUUUGUAAGCAUCUGGAAGAGAAAUACUACUUAAGAUAGCCACAAAAUUAAAGAUAAAUACCUAAAAGCUUUCCUCUCCACAAUUUGUAAUAGUUUCUCUUCCGUGGUCCAAUCAAGAUUGUCACUCUCAAUAUUGUCACUCUCACACCACAAUCCGCUACCCCAUGCAAUAACUGACGCACAUAAGAGGAUCAUAAGCAAAUGUAGCAGUAUGAAAAAUACCAAGUAAUUAAGAAAAUCAAGAGAAAAAAAAAUUAGAGCCACAUUGCUAGCAGAAUUUGAUAGCUUAAGUAAUAGAAGAGAACAUAUCUCCUAGUAAGUCCCCUCAUUAGUAUUCCCACAUGAGCACCCAUAGUUCACAUAAAAUAGCUUUAACAGUUUCUGACAAACUGUGAUGAAAUAUAUGUUUAUCAAGUCCAAAAUAUAGGAUUCUUUAUCACUUAUCCCAUUAGCCAUUAGAAAUAAUAUACCAUACAAUGAAGGUUUUAAGACAGUCAAACAGAGAUUUGAAAUAGUAAAAUAUAUAACUCAAUUGUGCCAUUAGUCUAAAAUCUACAAAGCCAAAUAUGCAAGUUAUAUAAAUAUCAUAUUAAGCAAAUUGGGAGAUAAGGAAACCAAAACUUUCAAACUAUACAUAUUAUUUUUUAUGUCAGUUUUUCGAACUCCGAAUGGAAGAAAUUAGAUUUUACAGUUUACACUUCAGAAGUGUAAUACAAAAACUAAUAACAUAAUUGUUAAAAGAAAAACUAUUUAGGAGAUUCAUAAUUUUUCUUUAAUGCACUGUUAUUGAUUACCCAAAUAAAAGCUAAAAUCAGAAGCAUCUGGAGUGAAGGUCUCUAAUUCAAAAUGGGUACGUAACCUGACUUGAAGCACAUGCCAAGGAUUUCUUUUAUUUAAAUCCUAUUGGAACUUGACAAAAGUACCAUGUAGUGUUUAAAACUUUCUGUAAACUUAAAGCUUAAGAAAUUACAUGAUUUUGUUGAAGAAAUAGAAUAAGUGGAAAAUAUGUUAGAGGACUCACCCUCCAAGUUAUGUGCCUGACAAAUAUUUCAGGAGGCGGCGCAAACAUUAAGCAGUGGUUGAAACUUGCAAGUUUUCUACAUAGAUGCAGGUUGAACAAUGGAAAAUUAUAAAUCGGAGUUAAAUCAGGAUGGCUAAAAGAGCAUAAAAUUUGAAAAGCAAGAAGCAGCUAACACUGAAAUUGUUAAAUGACAUAAAAAUGAAAAGCCAAAUACUAAAUGAGGCAGGUAUAAAAUCAAAGAGUGAGUGAUGUGAAUUUCUAAAAAGACAAAUUAUACCUGCAACAAUAAUGAAGCUCAGAUAAUUAUGAAACAUUGAUAAUCAGAAUUAAGAGCAUGAAGGACUGCUUGUUUUGGCAAAUAAAUAAGAAAAAAAGAGAAAAGAUUUGAGUAUUGAAACAAAAUAGCACCAACCAAUAAAUUGAAGAAAUACCAAAAAAUCACCUCAAAACCCCAGUGGAGGAUCUACUUAAGCAUUGCCAAUUGAAACAAAUGACAAUGCGACUGUUCAAAAUCUGAAGCAUGCGACAAAGUUCAAACCCCCUUCUCGUUCAACUCUUUUGCUGCUGAAAAGACCCAUUGAACAAUGUCAUCCAAUUUUUCUUCUGCAAUAUGGAUUACAUUCUAAACCUGCAAACCAUUCAAAUCAAAGAGGAUUAGAAGAAAACAAAUAUAUUUUCUACACAUUAUUUACUCCAAAAGAACAUCUAUAACUUCAGUGUCCAGCUUACGAAACAGAAAAAAGUAUGAAUCUUGCACUGUAAGAGGAACACCAGCUUCUAGUCUAUCAUGCUAAAACAUUUGUAAACAACCCUCUAAGGGGGAGCAUAAAACAUGAAUUCCUAAAUGAAAACUAUGAGCUAACUUAAUUGGCUAUAGGCAAUCAGCUACAUGAUUAGCCACCCUUAAAACAUGUAACCAUAUCUCCCAAUUUUUCCUUUUCUAGUAUUGGAUUUCAAUCAACUCAUUCCCAUUCAUAAGCACAUGUAGUUCUGCAAUAUGAGUCAUAUCAAUGACUUUUAAGGAUUAGCUUUCUAUGAUAACUCUGCGACAGCCUUCAUUCCAAGCCAUAGCAAGAGCUAUUUUGAUCGCCCAAAAUUCAGCCAUAGUGACAUAAGGAGCCUACACCAAAAGCCACUGCACAGCCUCAUCUUUCAAACAGGUUGAAUCACUUGCCAGUCUCUAAACAAAUACAGCUCAGAUUCGUGCAGCUUCCCUUUGUGAUCAUUUCCACUUCCAAAUUCUCCUCCAAGACC